CCUACGGGAGACUGCCGUGGGGGAUAUUGCACAAUGGGGGAAACCCUGAUGCAGCGACGCCGCGUGUGGGAAGACGGUCCUCUGGAUGGUAAACCACUGUCCCCAGGGACGAAGAUGACGGUACCGGGGGAGGAAGCUCCGGCUAACUACGUGCCAGCAGCCGCGGUAAUACGUAGGCAGCGAGCGUGGUCCGGAAUUACUGGGUGUAAAGGGAGCGUAGGCGGGACUGCAAGUUGGGUGUCAAAUCUACCGGCUCAACCGGUAGCCGCACUCAAAACUGCAGUUCUUGAGUGAAGUAGAGGCAGGCGGAAUUCCUAGUGUAGCGGUGAAAUGCGUAGAUAUUAGGAGGAACACCAGUGGCGAAGGCGGCCUGCUGGGCUUUUACUGACGCUGAGGCUCGAAAGUGUGGGGAGCAAACAGGAUUAGAUACCCGUGUAGUC
This 440-nucleotide ribosomal RNA is filed under the name uncultured bacterium. RNAcentral describes it as "partial 16S ribosomal RNA". It matches the Rfam family "Bacterial small subunit ribosomal RNA", at positions 338 to 795 of the family's 1533-position model. The record is from RNAcentral.